GUAGACACUGAUAACAUAGAACCUAAAUACUCAAUGAAAAUGCUCAAACCAUCAAUAAAUCUCGUGACUAUUUGUGUUAUUCUCGUGCAUUUGUUAUAUUGCAUCCAGUGUGAUGAGAAUCCGUUAAAGGAGGAGGCUAUCAAACUGUCAAAUAUUCAUAAGGAUAUAGACACGGACAGGAACAGGAAAUUAACACGCCAAGAGGUAACAAUAUACCUCGUUGCAAACAAAAUUGGUUACAGUCCAGAUUCUGAUUACUUCAAAGACAUUGUGGACAGUUUGUUUGAUGAACAUGACAAAAAUAAAGAUGGACUUAUAGCUUAUGAUGAAUUUGUUCCGAGGCAUGAUGAACUUUGAACUUUGAAAGUUAGAUAAUAUAAUAUAAUUUUACGUAUCCUAGCUGGAUAAAAUGUAUUUUUGACAGUAUGUUCUCAUGCGUAUUAAAAUUUGCAUAUUUCGUUUUUAAUUUAGUCCUAUG
Long non-coding RNA from Mytilus californianus (California mussel), 478 nucleotides. RefSeq lists it as uncharacterized. The transcript has 2 exons. The record is from RefSeq and is a predicted model, not a curated record. Lineage: Eukaryota; Metazoa; Mollusca; Bivalvia; Mytilida; Mytilidae.